UCUUAGCUUGCUUCUCUCCUCCCCGCAACCCCCUCCUUUGGAAACAGACUUUGCCAUGAAUUUGAUUUUUCAUCUUGAGAGAGGAGGGACUUGGCCUUGCUCCUAAGAAGGUAAUUUUUUAUUGGCCCGUGUUCUUGCCUUUAACGUUUCAGGAAAAUUGUAAGAAUGCUAGUGAUGCAAUAGCCCCUGCUGCUUCUGGAUCAAAUAUGAGGACCUGGUACAAGGAUACACAGACUGCUUCCAAACCUUAGAGGAACUCUUGAAUUAGCUUCUCAUAAACUUUUCGGGGGCUUUGAGCUGGUUGUUUCUGGAAUCCUCCACUUUCCUUUGCCGUAAAAUUUUAAUAGCCCACACUUCUGUGAUCAAGACAUUGAAGAACAAGUCACCUGCUGCUUAUGCAAUGGGCUUAUGCUUGUAAGCAGGGAUCAUAUGGGAACCAGAGAUUUGUUCAGUUUUUAACCAGCCUUUCAGAAAAUAGUAUGAUGACGAAGCAUUAGUCCUAAAAAGGGGGUCAAGUUUAAUCUCUCUUAAGGACAAAGAAACAGCCAUCACCAGGACAACUGUUUGGAACAGGAUUUGAAGGUAAGAGAGUUGGUGAAGUUCCUGUAAGAACAACGAGAUGCAGUUCCAUAUGCUUAUCACUUGGGCUCUGAGCUCCAUAACCUUCAAGCCAUUAAAUCCCAAGGAGCCCCUCUUUUCUAGCCUGAAAAAGGGGGGGGGGGGCGUGCCGCUGCUGCAAGAAGGUAGGUACUAUUUCUUUUUAAUAUGUAGCACAGAAGUAGUUUAGAAUUCUUAAAGUUCUGUAGUGAGUUUGUCUGAGUCAAUAAGUCUCUCUCUCUCUCCCUUCCUCACCCCCCCCCAUGUGUUUUAGGGCAUUGGUACAGGAAGCCAGUGUGGUAUGGCAGUAGAUUACUGUUCUUUGUCUUGAGAGAUCACUCAGCCACGGAGAUCAUUGGGUGAUCUUCAGCCAGUUGUUCUCUCUAAUCCUAACCUGACAAUGUUGAUUUGAGGGUAAAGUGGGAUAAACCCUCACCUGCUUGUGCCACCAGCCUCAAUGAAGGAAAUUUGAGAUAUGAAUGUGAAUGCUAGGACCACCACCCUCACUAAUAACAAUUGCAUUCUUACUGGUUAGGGCCCAUAGGUUAGACUACCCUAGUAGUGGUUAAUUAAUGAGACAAAAACGGGAAGGUGAAAAACCCAGAGAGAGAGAAAGGAGGAGGGCUGGAUGAGAGGAGGGCAGAGUUGUUUACUCUGAAUCACAGUGCAGAAAAAGAAAUUUCAUCCGGUUCACCCCUGCAUGACAAAUCGUAGCUACCAAAAUUCCCUCCUUCGUAUCUAUGGGUUGUAGCCCAUUUUAGUUCUCCCUAGAGUAGGCCCAUUGAAGUUAAUGGGCAUAGCUAUCUCGGGUUCAUAAAUUUCAACAGGUCUACUAUGAGCAGGACUAACAUUGGAUACAACCCUAUAUCUAUAUCUGGUAAUAUCUGGUAAUAAAUAUAUAUAUAUCUAUAUCUGGUAUAUUUAACAACAAACAGAGGGUUUGAUGUUGCAGCUUUGGGUUUAAAUUGGGUUCUAGGUCAGAGGAAGUUGAACACUGCUGUUCUGUUAGUUCAUGCACAGCAACUAUGAAUUGCAGAGAUUACCAGUGUCCGACAGUACUGGCCUUUUCAUUGGCCAGAGUCAGGUGGCCACCUAAAGCAGCUAGCUUGGAGUUUCAUGAAAGGGCAGCAUGUUGUUUUGCUUUUUUCACAAAUGCUCCUAAUUACAGUCCCCUGUCAAUGACAGUACCCAGUUACCCUAUGGAAAACAAGAACUUGCGGAAUCAUAGAACUGUAGAGUUGGAAGGUACCUUCGAGGGUUGUCUAGUCCAAUCCCUUGCAAUGCAGGAAUCUAAAUGUAACUAAAUGCACACACAAAAAUAUAUACACUAAAUAUAUGAAUGCUGUUUUAAUGCAUUCUGGUCUUCCAAGUGGUUGCAGCUCUCUGAGAGAUGUCUUUGUGCGAAAGACACACAUUGGAGUCAAAAUGUACUUUUGUUGUUGAAAUUUCAUUUCUGUGCUGUCCUAUAUAUAUAUAUAUAUGGCCAUCUGUCAUGGGUGCUCUAGUUGAGAUUCCCACAAUUCUAUGAUUCUAUGGUCUAUAUUUUGCCUCUAAUUAGAGUGUCAGUCUUUAGCUGGGUGGAAUUCCCUCCCCAUUAAAUAUCAGACAGGCAUUAUCUUUAAUGACUUUUCGGUGCUCACUGAAGAUCUUCCUACUGUAUGCAAAAUACCAAUUUUAUAUAACAUAUACUGUAUAAAAGUAAACGCCCUGAGAGUGCUGCACCUAUGUGAGUUUUCAGUUUAUUUUUAUUUAUUCCUGUUUAGGUCAUCCUUGUUGCAUCUGAUUGUGAAAUUCAGCCAUGUCUCCCCCACUUAACACAAACUUGGGCUACACCCCUCCUGAUGGGGGAUGGGGAUGGGCAGUUGUCUUUGGAGCAUCUAUAUCUGUUGGAUUUGCGUACUCCUUCCCUAAGGCUUUCACAAUCUACUACAAAGAACUCCAGGCUGUUUAUAAUAUCUCCUAUGGCCAGAUUGCAUGGGUGUCUUCAAUUAUGUGUGCCACAACCUAUGGAGGAGGUAAGUGAAUUGAAAAUGUUUCUUUCGCCCCAUAAAGCGGAAAAGAAGAAUCCUCCAUACCUCAAAACCUUAGUUCUUCUAGAAGGUUCUUGAGCAUAUUAAGCCAAGCUGUACAUAUCAUCCAGCUAAAUAGAAUCCAUCAAAUCGGAGAGGCUUUCAUGGAAAUAAAACAUUCUCUUUGCAGAAUUUUAUAUUUCAUGCAAUCUCUCACUGAAGUUUCAACCAAUGAUGCCAACUUGAAUAAAAUAUAGGUGGGGCAGAUAAACCCCACCUUGCAUAAUAAAUCACAAGACGUGGCACAUGCACACCAUUUGCAUGGCAAUGCCCAUUAACCUGGGGGGGGGGGCAGCUCCCUCAAAUAUUUUACUGGGGGGACCGAAGGAACCUUGGCCCCUAGGAGUUGGCUCCUAUGGUCUCAACUGUUGCUAAAAAUGGUGAACUGCCACCAUUUUAUGGACUGGAAACAUUCUGUUGAGGAGCUGAGUUGGGGUUUUUUUUAAUGAUUGUAUUAACUUUAUUUUUCAGUCUUUCUAGAUCAUUUUGUAAAGAUUUUUUAUUUCUGUGCAACUUAUCAAUAAGACAGACUUUAAAUUGCUUUGGGUAGGAUUCAUGGGGUUUUAUUGCAAGGGCUUCUGCUUGUGCAAUGGGACUUUCUCUCUCUUCUCCCCCUGCGUCCCCCAAAAUUUCGGCUCAGGAGAACCCCCAGAAGAGUAUAUGGGGAGAGCGGGGAUCCAUCUGUCAGGCAAGCUCAUACGUCUGAGCAGAUGAAACAUUUGUAUUAGUGCGGCAUUUAAUUCUACUCUUUUGAUCUCAUUCUAUUAUCCCACAUCAAUACAGUGGUACCUCUAGUUGCAUGCACCUCUGGAUAUGUAUCCUUCAAGAUACGCACACGGCAAACCCGGAAGUAUUUUUCUGGGUUUCAUUGUGCGCACAUGCGCAGAAACACUCUACUGCACCGUGCGCAUGUGCAGAAGCGCUCUACCAUACCGCACACAUGUGCAGAACAGGUACCUCCAGUUACAAAAACCUUGGGAUCCGACUGGAGCUCUGGCAUGGAUCCUGUCCGCAACCGGAGGUACCACUGUAUAGGCCCUUCACAUAGAUGGUGUUGUUGGAGGGUGGUGCUUCUCCUUACUUUUGUUAAUGAAAAAUAAAAACAGCAACGAAACCUUGUCAAACAGAUCCUUCUUCACCAUUGUGGUGAUCACACAGGGUCCCCGGACGUUUAACGGUCUAUUGAUCCCUGUGCCACCACUGUGCUUGCUUCCCUGCUGCCACCAACCCAUUACUCUCGGGUAAAACAAUGAGUCCAGUCAGUUGUUAAAAUUGAACCAAAUAAAGAAGUUUAUUUUAUAAGCAUUAACAAGUUUAUGGUUUCUCAGAUAAUAUUCUUGUCAGUUUCUUAACUUUAGUUUCUUUACCGGCCUAUACCUUCUGACUGAUUAUUUUAACUGUUUGACUGACUCCUCUUAACAGAUUCUCUCACAUCAGACUAGCCCAACCCACAGACUUAUCCUCUCUCUCUUCUCUAACUCCAGACUAACUUCUCAACCCCCCUAACUCUAACACCUCCCCUUGGGUUCCCAUUGGUUAGUCAUUUUACAAUUAGUUAACCCUUUCCUUAUGAACCCAGUAUGAUGUCGCACACCUAGGAGAGCAAACGCCACAACCAUACACCCCCAAUUAUCUGCUGAUGUUGGGUGAGAUGCUUUGGCAGAGCUAUGUCCCCGUAUGAUGGCCUAACAGAGGACAUUGGUUAUUUUACCACUGCCACUGGCCCAUAAAGGUUGGCUGAUCUGACUACUAUUUCAAAUUCUUACUUAAAUUCCAUCAACAAAUGAUUAUUUAUUACAUUUAUUUAUUAAUUUUGUGUUGGCAAUGAUUGCAGGAGAGGAAAAAAAUGAAACACAAAGUCAAGCUGUGGACUUUGGCCCAAAAAAUGAUGGAAAUGACAAUUUCAGACAAGAAGAUCCCUAAUAAAAAGAGAGCCUUGGGUCAAAAUAGACGUGCUGGUUAUUUCAGUGUAGCCAUGGAGGGCUCGGAUGUGGAUUGGUGCAGCAGCACCAAGAGAAAGGGAAUGCUGAGUUCAAACCCACACUGCUGUUCUACCAUUGGGCUAAAAAUGCUGGCACCCAGCCUGAGGUGCAUGUGAUUCAGAUACAAAUUGUAGCCCCUUUGCAGCUGAUUUUAGAAAUACAGAGAUGGGCGCUAUUCUGUGUGUGUAGCGGGCGGCAGUUAUUGUUUUGCUUCUUACUAUGUUAUGUCUUUUUGUAAACUGCCCUGUGAUCC
This 4901-nucleotide long non-coding RNA is filed under the name Podarcis lilfordi (Lilford's wall lizard). Lineage: Eukaryota; Metazoa; Chordata; Lepidosauria; Squamata; Lacertidae. The record is from RNAcentral.